Molecule: non-coding RNA, 100 nt
Filed under: Alteromonas naphthalenivorans
Lineage: Bacteria; Pseudomonadati; Pseudomonadota; Gammaproteobacteria; Alteromonadales; Alteromonadaceae
Source: RNAcentral
GACGACAACGCGCCUCUGUCAUAGGAAGGCAAACUAAACCUCUGGCGUGCGUUACCAUAAAGUUAAUGGCUUCUGGCGUGACAUGCUCUGCUGCCAUAAU